RNAcentral lists this ribosomal RNA (116 nucleotides) under Klebsiella pneumoniae. The record is from RNAcentral. Lineage: Bacteria; Pseudomonadati; Pseudomonadota; Gammaproteobacteria; Enterobacterales; Enterobacteriaceae. RNAcentral also lists the same sequence under 1 other name.
CCUGGCGGCACUAGCGCGGUGGUCCCACCUGACCCCAUGCCGAACUCAGAAGUGAAACGCCGUAGCGCCGAUGGUAGUGUGGGGUCUCCCCGUGUGAGAGUAGGGAACUGCCAGGC